ACCUUGAACCACGACACAGACUAGUCCUCACCUUCAUCAGCAAAGGCACACAUGAGAUGAGAUUCUGUCUGCUUGUGUCAUCUUCAGAGAGUUUUCAUAGAGUCUAGAGGAUUUUUGUAAUCACAAAAGAGGAUAUGAAGCACACAGAGCCUGAAGAUCUCCAAGAGAGGGCAAAGACUGGACUUUGAUUUGGUGCGUUUUUUCAGGUUGUGGAUAUGUGUCUGCAGCCUUCCGUAGGGCUCAUUCUGGUCAAGAGAGGAGAUGUGUUCACUGUUGAGGGAGAGACUGGAUAGGGAGAUGCUCCGACUCUGCAGAGAAGAGCGUUGGGACCGGAAAUUGCAUGAAAAGGAAUGAAGAUCUUUCUCCUGCCACAUCUCUCAAGAAUGUUUUUCAUUUGGCAAACAAUGAUGAUAACAAAAGUGAACUGGUACAUUAGAAGUCAUACAAUUCAGCAAAAUAAUGCAGACACUGUUGAGGACAUGGAGAUAGAGUAUAGUUCUGUAUCUAAACCUUCAUCUCCUAUAGGUCUGUCGGCUCCGCUUGCGCCUCCUUAGGCCCAGGCGUCUCAGUCCUCUCAGCAAAAUAGUGCAGACACAGUCGAGGACAUGGAGGUUAAAUUUCAUCUCAAUGUAUUUACAGACAUUCAUCUCUUGAUGGUCUGUUGGCUACAGUUGCGCCUCCUCAGGCCCAGAGUCUCAGUCCUCUUGGGUAGAUUGUGAACAUUAUUAGUGCCAAUAUUAAUGAAAAAGUAGUUUCAUGUUUUAUUUACAGCAAAAUAAUGCAGACACUGUUGAGGACAUGGAGAUAGAGUAUAGUUCUGUAUCUCAACCUUCAUCUCCUAUAGGUCUGUCAGCUCCGCUUGCGCCUCCUUAGGCCCAGGCGUCUCAGUCCUCUCAGCAAAAAAGUGCAGACAAAUUCGAGGACAUGGAGGUUGAAUACAGUUCUUAAUCUCAAUGUAUUUACAGACAUUCAUCUCUUGAUGGUCUGUCGGCUACAGUUGCACCGUCUCCGGCCCAGGGUCUCAGUCCUCUCAGACAUUCAUCUCCUAAUGGUCUGUCGCCUCCACUUGCGCCUCCUUAGGCCCAGGUGUCUCAGUUUUCUCAGCAAAAUAUUGCAGAUGCAGUUGAGGACAUGGAGGUUGAAUACAGUUCUUCUCAGUCAUUUUAUCAAAGUCUCUCUGAAUUAAUCUGUAACCAGUCUAGUAUUACAUUUAGCGCCUCCUCACGGUCAAGCGCCUUCUCUUGCGUCUCUUCCCCACCUCCCUCUAGGAAGUGUCAGGCUGCUUCUUAUUCACAGGUAGAUUUAAACUGAAGCUUUUAGCAGAACUCAGUGUUAAUCUCAAUUUGCUUUAAUAUACGUGUAUUAAAUCUUAAUUACAGCACAGUAAUGGAGAUAAGGAUGAGAUGGAGGUGACACUAAAGAGGGCCAGACUGUGUGUAACAGCAAGCAAUAUUAAAGCUCAGUAAAUUUAUCAAAGUCUUUACCUUUGUUAUAUUACAAUUAGCUGUGCAUGAAUGUUUACAGAAACAGUUCUUAACAAUGUAUUUCUAUUCAUCUGCUCCUAGACUGUCGGCUUCGAUUGUGUUAAAAUUUCACCAAAGCCCCAAACGCUAUUAGUGACAAUUUCAUUGAGAAAAGAAGUUUCAUGUACGUGUAUUAAAUCUCUGAUUGUUUUAUUUACAACAACAACCACAAAAAACACUCUAUGGAGGAGAUGGAGGUCGACUGUUGUUCUGUUUUUCAGAAAGCCUUAAGCUUUGUUAUAUUAGAUUUAGUUUUUUACAUUUCAUUUUUUGUUUUAUGAUGUUUUAUUGCUUAAAUGUUUGCUGACGCAGUUCUCACAGUACUUUUAUAUGUAUUUGUAGACAUUCAAGUGCCUCCUCCUGCCUCUCCUUCUCAGCUCCCUCUCGCAAUAACUUAAAAGACAUAACACUUAUGUUUAUUUUAUUGCUGUCUUAGAAAAAUUUAUGUUUUCUUUUUGAAAAUA
Molecule: long non-coding RNA, 1987 nt
Organism: Paramisgurnus dabryanus
Lineage: Eukaryota; Metazoa; Chordata; Actinopteri; Cypriniformes; Cobitidae
Source: RefSeq, a predicted model, not a curated record